CAGAGCGCCACCACGUCGCUGCACAGCGUCUCCGGGGUAACGGGGACCUCGAGGACCUGCUGGUCACUGCUGCUGAGGUACACGGUGAGCGAGUCGCUGAUCACUAACGACGCCCGAUGGAGACGCAGUGUCCUCCAUUUUGGAUCUGUGUGUUCUCCGUAACCAAUCAGAGCAUUGCACCCAAAACGAGUGGCGAGCAGAACCUCGUGAACACGGCCCGCUGCGUCGCUACGGCGCGGCAGAUGGCGUCGCCGUGGUUACGCUCCACGCUCCACCCGCCUCCUCCUCCUUCACGGACGCCUCCCGCGCCGUUCAGGACUAUAACAGAUAUAUUUGUGGACAUAACUCCCAUGAUGCACUGGGGCCAUCUGUUACUCCAGCAGGCCUCAGCUGAAGAAACUGAGAGGAUGAGCUGGCCGGCCUCAGACAGGAAGGAGCUGUCCUACAUGAGGAAACUGGAGCGCCGCUUCCUCCUCCAGGCAGGAAGUGGGUCGCUGCCGUCAGGCGGGAAACCCGAAGCCGACCGGGAACCCGCCGCCUGUCCCUCGGGACGCCGACGACGAGGCAGAGUGAGACCUCCUGUCGUCAGCUCCAUACGUCCCUGGGAGGUGUCUGUCUGUCUGUCUGUUGUCUGUGUGUCUGCCUCAUUAACUCGUGAGCAGCUCUUAAUCCAGGAGUUAGCUCAGCGUCCUGCAGCUUAAAGCCGCCGACACACAACAAUAACAAUAACAUGAGGAAAUUAAUGGAGGCCUGAAACACGUCAACAACAACAACAAGGAUUCACCGACAUGGAGCCUCAACAGGCAUCGAACACACGGCACACAGCUCACUGUGUGGGUCUCAAGUAACAUCCUUCAUUAGGGUGUUAUCAUGUUAGGGCUCAUACCCUCCUUCAUUUGAGAGGGAGAGGGGGAGGGAGAAAGGGAGAUAGAGAAAGAGAGAGAUCAUGCAACAACAGGUCUGGAGGCCAGAAUCGAACACACGGUUCUGGUUCAAUGACCCUGAAACCAGUCGAUCACCAAUGAGCUCCAACUGGUGUUUGUACGUCUGAUUUAAGGAGUUGUUGUUGUUGUUGUUGUUGUUUUCUUUAAUGCAAAGUGCCGGUCAGACAGUUUGUGAUUUUAAUCACACAUUUUUACUGUUACUUUAAAAACAAAAAUAAUUUUGAAGAGAAACAUGUUUUCAUUCUCUUCUUAUUUGUUAAAUACCUCGUAUCAUUGAUGUGAUUAUAUCCCUAAUAUUUAUAUCUAAAUAUAAAAGGUUUAAUUUUAUCUUCACUAAAUAAUUUUCUCUUUAACAGUUUUGAAAACACACGUUUACGAAAAAUAAGAUCUAAAACGUCGAGGCAAACAGGCGGCAGCUGCCACCUCCCAAAUGUUGAGGAGCCAUAUGGCCGACAUGCGUCACGUGACCACCGGAAGAGGAUUAAUGAGACACACACACACACACACACACACACACACACACACACACACACACACACACACCUGCUGUUCAGGAAUCACAGUCAGCUCUUGUUGUGAGCUCGGGCGCUGCGCUCUGAUUGGCCGCCGGCUGCGGAGCAUCAUCUCCCAGAGUCACUAAUUAGCCGCUAAUUGAUCGUCUGUCGCUGCGGGAAUCGAGUCGCCGGGUAAAAUCCCCGACGACCGAUCGACCAACGGGCAAGCUGCCUUUUGUCUGAGGCCGACGCCCCUAAACCCAAAGGCCCGUCGAAUUACACCGUGACGUGAACGGAUUAACGACGCAGUCAAACCGGGUCAGAGGAACAGAAUCAAAAGGACCCUCCCCCCCCUCCCCUCUGGUACCAGAAGAGUUAAGGACCCGGUACCGGAAAAGUUAAGGACCCGGUACCAGGAGAGUUAAGGACCGGAACCGGAAGAGUUAAGGAUCCGGAACCAGAAGAGUUCAGGACCUGGUACCGGAAAAGUUAAGGACCCGGAACCAGAAGAGUUAAGGACCGGUACCGGAAGAGUUAAGGACCCGGUACCGGAAAAGUUAAGGACCCGGUACCAGAAGAGUUAAGGACCGGAACCAGAAGAGUUAAGGACCCGGAACCAGAAGAGUUAAGGACCGGUACCAGGAGAGUUAAGGACCCGGUACCAGAAGAGUUAAGGACCGGAACCAGAAGAGUUAAGGACCCGGAACCAGAAGAGUUAAGGACCCAGUACCGGAAAAGUGAAGGAUCCGGAACCAGGAGAGUUAAGGACCCGGUACCAGAAUCUUUUCAUCUUUGUAUUUCCCUGUAAUCUGGUUCCCUUUCACAGAGUUCCUCAUCGUGAGGAAUACCGGCUUUCAAACUCUUCCCGCAUGACCUUGAACAGUGUGUGUGUGUGUGUGUGUGCGUGUGUGUGUGUGUUUCUGGUCACUGUGGCAAACAGUUACCAAGCAGCAAGGCGAGCUCUGCACGCCUGCAAGACGAGGCUGUGGGCUAACAACCAGCAAGGAAGCACGAAACAUCUCAGGGAUGAUUUCAGCUUUUUUUUCGGGAGUCGAGCACCUGAACCCGACGACCGUCACUGAGACGAUGUGUGUGUGUGUGUGUGUGUGUGUGUGUUUUCUUCCUGUUGUCAGGGCUGCAGCUCUCUGAAUGCCAGUCACUGUCACACGCUGCUGUGUGAAUAACAAUCAGGGUUCAGGAAGGAGAACUCCAGCUCUCUGGUUCCUCCAGCGGGCCUUCCUCCUCUUCCUCUUCCUCCAUCUACUCGUGUUCCUCAUUUCAUCAUUUAACACGCGACCGACCCGACAUGGCUCUUCUGACCCACAAUCCUUUGCGGCGCAUGAUGUUUGAGCGAGAGGGUCAAAGUCCAAGACGGCCCGCGUUGCUCUGCUGCCUCGGUAGUGAGUCUGCACACGGGCCUCUAAACCCUGAGUCUGACCUUCAAGGCUCGACCUUCAUUUUUAGAAGUUCAUGGAGCUCCGCAGGAAAAACAUGGAUUAUCUUUUUAAACAUUUUUUUCUUUAAAGAGGUGAAUGCAAAUCACUGGAAUGGAUUUAGAUGUAAUAUGUUUUGUUGUUGUUGAUUGAAGUCGUGCUUCCCCUUAAGCCCCGCCCACCGUACCGAGGGUUUGAUCUCACAGGAGAAGCCUGAGGAGAGUCUACAUUUCUUGUUCACUAAUAUUAACUAUUAUGAACUAUUUAGAGCCAAAUCAUAACAAGUAUCCUGUGCCUGAUGUCCGUCCGUCCAUCACACACACACACACACACACACACACCUUCCUGCUGCCACAAACACUCACUGUAGGUCACUAAAUGUGGAUUCAUCCGCCGUUGAAAAUAGUCCCCAUGCAUAACGCUCCAUUUCCUCCUGUUUGUUUGAUUAAAAAACUACAGCAGCA
Molecule: long non-coding RNA, 3335 nt
Organism: Pseudoliparis swirei
Lineage: Eukaryota; Metazoa; Chordata; Actinopteri; Perciformes; Liparidae
Exons: 3
Source: RefSeq, a predicted model, not a curated record